This 1940-nucleotide ribosomal RNA is filed under the name wastewater metagenome. RNAcentral's name for it is "bacterial LSU rRNA". It matches the Rfam family "Bacterial large subunit ribosomal RNA", at positions 3 to 1990 of the family's 2925-position model. The record is from RNAcentral.
UCAAGCGAAUAAGCGCACACGGUGGAUGCCUUGGCGGUCAGAGGCGAUGAAGGACGUGGCAGCCUGCGAAAAGUAUCGGGGAGCUGGCAACAAGCUUUGAUCCGGUAAUGUCCGAAUGGGGAAACCCACCCGCUUGCGGGUAUCCUGCAGUGAAUACAUAGCUGCUGGAAGCGAACCUGGUGAACUGAAAUAUCUAAGUAACCAGAGGAAAAGAAAUCAACCGAGAUUCCGUAAGUAGCGACGAGCGAACGCGGACUAGCCCUUAAGCUGAUUUGGUUCUAGGAAAACGCUCUGGAAAGAGCGGCCAUAGAAGGUGAUAGCCCUGUAUCUGAAAGGGCCAUUUCAGUGAAGACGAGUAGGGCGGGGCACGUGAAACCCUGUCUGAACAUGGGGGGACCAUCCUCCAAGGCUAAAUACUACUGACCGACCGAUAGUGAACCAGUACCGUGAGGGAAAGGCGAAAAGAACCCCGGAGAGGGGAGUGAAAUAGAACCUGAAACCGUGUGCGUACAAGCAGUAGGAGCUCCGCAAGGAGUGACUGCGUACCUUUUGUAUAAUGGGUCAGCGACUUACUGUUCGUGGCAAGCUUAACCGUAUAGGGGAGGCGAAGGGAAACCGAGUCUGAUAAGGGCGCAUAGUCGCGGGCAGUAGACCCGAAACCGGGUGAUCUAGUCAUGCCCAGGGUGAAGGUGCGGUAACACGCACUGGAGGCCCGAACCCACUCCCGUUGCAAAGGUAGGGGAUGAGGUGUGAUUAGGAGUGAAAAGCUAAUCGAACCCGGAGAUAGCUGGUUCUCCUCGAAAGCUAUUUAGGUAGCGCCUCAUAUGUAUCCUCUCGGGGGUAGAGCACUGUUAUGGCUAGGGGGUCAUCGCGACUUACCAAACCAUUGCAAACUCCGAAUACCGAGACGGACUGUAUGGGAGACACACGGCGGGUGCUAACGUCCGUCGUGAAAAGGGAAACAACCCAGACCCACAGCUAAGGUCCCAAAUUCACUGCUAAGUGGAAAACCAUGUGGAAAGGCACAGACAGCCAGGAGGUUGGCUUAGAAGCAGCCACCCUUUAAAGAAAGCGUAAUAGCUCACUGGUCGAGUCGGUCUGCGGGGAAGAUUUAACGGGGCUAAGCAGUGAACCGAAGCUUGGGGUGCAUAACUUUGUUAUGCGCGGUAGAGGAGCGUUCCGUAAGCCGUUGAAGGUGGAUUGAGAAGUCUGCUGGAGGUAUCGGAAGUGCGAAUGCUGACAUGAGUAACGAUAAUGCGGGUGAAAAACCCGCACGCCGAAAGCCCAAGGUUUCCUUGCGCAACGUUAAUCGGCGCAGGGUGAGUCGGCCCCUAAGGCGAGGACGAAAGUCGUAGUCGAUGGGAAGCAGGUUAAUAUUCCUGCACCUCGCGUAAGUGCGAUGGAGGGACGGAGAAGGUUAGGUGUACCAGGCGUUGGUUGUCCUGGGGAAAGGCGGUAGGUUUGGAUCUUUGGCAAAUCCGGGAUCCUUUAAGACCGAGCACCGAGACGAGUCUUUAAGACGAAGUCACUGAUACCACGCUUCCAGGAAAAGCUCCUAAGCUUCAGCUUACGCAGACCGUACCGUAAACCGACACAGGUGGGUAGGAUGAGAAUUCUCAGGCGCUUGAGAGAACUCGGGUGAAGGAACUAGGCAACAUGGCACCGUAACUUCGGGAGAAGGUGCACCCUUUUUGGUGGCUCGUGCGAGCUAUAGCUGAAGAGGGUCGCAGUAACCAGGCCGCUGCGACUGUUUAUCAAAAACACAGCACUCUGCAAACACGAAAGUGGACGUAUAGGGUGUGACGCCUGCCCGGUGCUGGAAGGUUAAUUGAUGGGGUCAGCCGCAAGGCGAAGCUCUUGAUCGAAGCCCCAGUAAACGGCGGCCGUAACUAUAACGGUCCUAAGGUAGCGAAAUUCCUUGUCGGGUAAGUUCCGACCUG